AAGUCGAACGAAGAGCGAUGGAAGCUUGCUUCUAUCAAUCUUAGUGGCGAACGGGUGAGUAACGCGUAAUCAACCUGCCCUUCAGAGGGGGACAACAGUUGGAAACGACUGCUAAUACCGCAUACGAUUCAAUCUCGGCAUCGAGACUGGAUGAAAGGUGGCCUCUAUUUAUAAGCUAUCACUGAAGGAGGGGAUUGCGUCUGAUUAGCUAGUUGGAGGGGUAACGGCCCACCAAGGCGAUGAUCAGUAGCCGGUCUGAGAGGAUGAACGGCCACAUUGGGACUGAGACACGGCCCAGACUCCUACGGGAGGCAGCAGUGGGGAAUCUUCCGCAAUGGACGAAAGUCUGACGGAGCAACGCCGCGUGAGUGAUGACGGCCUUCGGGUUGUAAAGCUCUGUUAAUCGGGACGAAUGGUUCUUGUGCGAAUAGUGCGAGGAUUUGACGGUACCGGAAUAGAAAGCCACGGCUAACUACGUGCCAGCAGCCGCGGUAAUACGUAGGUGGCAAGCGUUGUCCGGAAUUAUUGGGCGUAAAGCGCGCGCAGGCGGAUUGGUCAGUCUGUCUUAAAAGUUCGGGGCUUAACCCCGUGAUGGGAUGGAAACUGCCAAUCUAGAGUAUCGGAGAGGAAAGUGGAAUUCCUAGUGUAGCGGUGAAAUGCGUAGAUAUUAGGAAGAACACCAGUGGCGAAGGCGACUUUCUGGACGAAAACUGACGCUGAGGCGCGAAAGCCAGGGGAGCGAACGGGAUUAGAUACCCCGGUAGUCC
Molecule: ribosomal RNA, 767 nt
Filed under: uncultured Veillonella sp.
Lineage: Bacteria; Bacillati; Bacillota; Negativicutes; Veillonellales; Veillonellaceae
Description: bacterial SSU rRNA
Rfam family: Bacterial small subunit ribosomal RNA
Source: RNAcentral